This 274-nucleotide ribosomal RNA is filed under the name uncultured bacterium. RNAcentral describes it as "partial 16S ribosomal RNA". It matches the Rfam family "Bacterial small subunit ribosomal RNA", at positions 523 to 796 of the family's 1533-position model. The record is from RNAcentral.
AUACGGAGGGUGCAAGCGUUAUCCGGAAUCAUUGGGUUUAAAGGGUCCGUAGGCGGACUAAUAAGUCAGGGGUGAAAUCCCACAGCUUAACUGUGGAACUGCCUUUGAUACUGUUAGUCUUGAGUUAUAUGGAAGUAGAUAGAAUGUGUAGUGUAGCGGUGAAAUGCUUAGCGAUUACACAGAAUACCGAUUGCGAAGGCAGUCUACUACAUAUAUACUGACGCUGAGGGACGAAAGCGUGGGGAGCGAACAGGAGUAGAUACCCCAGUAGUCC